Molecule: ribosomal RNA, 465 nt
Filed under: uncultured bacterium
Lineage: Bacteria
Description: partial 16S ribosomal RNA
Rfam family: Bacterial small subunit ribosomal RNA
Source: RNAcentral
GACGAACGCUGGCGGCGUGCUUAACACAUGCGAGUCGAACGGAAAGGCCCCUUUGGGGGUCCUCGAGUGGCGAACGGGUGAGUAACACGUGAGUAACCUGCCCUUGACUUCGGGAUAACUUCAGGAAACUGGGGCUAAUACCGGAUAGGAAUCCUUGCUGCAUGGUGGGGGUUGGAAAGCUUCGGCGGUUUUGGAUGGACUCGCGGCUUAUCAGCUUGUUGGUGGGGUAGUGGCUUACCAAGGCUUUGACGGGUAGCCGGCCUGAGAGGGCGACCGGCCACAUUGGGACUGAGAUACGGCCCAGACUCCUACGGGAGGCAGCAGUGGGGAAUAUUGCACAAUGGGCGGAAGCCUGAUGCAGCAACGCCGCGUGCGGGAUGACGGCCUUCGGGUUGUAAACCGCUUUCAGCAGGGGCGAAGCUUGUGGUGACGGUACCUGCAGAAGAAGCACCGGCUAACUACGUG